Unclassified non-coding RNA from Chlorocebus sabaeus (green monkey), 113 nucleotides. It matches the Rfam family "Y RNA". From Rfam's summary of the family: Y RNAs are components of the Ro ribonucleoprotein particle (Ro RNP), in association with Ro60 and La proteins. The Y RNAs and Ro60 and La proteins are well conserved, but the function of the Ro RNP is not known. In humans the RNA component can be one of four small RNAs -- hY1, hY3, hY4 and hY5. Lineage: Eukaryota; Metazoa; Chordata; Mammalia; Primates; Cercopithecidae. The record is from Ensembl.
GGCUAGUCUCAAGGUAGUGAGUUAUCUCACUUGAUUGUUCAUGGUCAGUUACAGAUUGAACUCUUUGUUCUAUUCUUUCCCCCCUUCUCACUACUGCACUUGACUAAUACAAA